RNAcentral lists this transfer RNA (77 nucleotides) under Leifsonia xyli subsp. xyli str. CTCB07. Its description in RNAcentral is "tRNA-Gly". It matches the Rfam family "tRNA". Rfam says of the family: Transfer RNA (tRNA) molecules are approximately 80 nucleotides in length. Their secondary structure includes four short double-helical elements and three loops (D, anti-codon, and T loops). The record is from RNAcentral. Lineage: Bacteria; Bacillati; Actinomycetota; Actinomycetes; Micrococcales; Microbacteriaceae.
GCGAGUGUAGUUCAAUGGUAGAACUUCAGCUUCCCAAGCUGAUAGCGCGGGUUCGAUUCCCGUCACUCGCUCCAAUG